CCUCUCACGGCGUAGUGGUAACGCGCCCCAACUAGAGAUCGGGGAGUCGUGAGUUCGAUUCUCACUGAGAAGA
Non-coding RNA from Aedes aegypti (yellow fever mosquito), 73 nucleotides. The record is from Rfam. NCBI's taxonomy places the organism in Eukaryota, Metazoa, Arthropoda, Insecta, Diptera, Culicidae.